This 254-nucleotide ribosomal RNA is filed under the name uncultured Gardnerella sp. Its description in RNAcentral is "partial 16S ribosomal RNA". It matches the Rfam family "Bacterial small subunit ribosomal RNA", at positions 100 to 354 of the family's 1533-position model. Lineage: Bacteria; Bacillati; Actinomycetota; Actinomycetes; Bifidobacteriales; Bifidobacteriaceae. The record is from RNAcentral.
CCGGGUAGAGUAAUGCGUGACCAACCUGCCCCAUGCUCCAGAAUAGCUCUUGGAAACGGGUGGUAAUGCUGGAUGCUCCAACUUGACGCAUGUCUUGUUGGGAAAGUGUUUAGUGGCAUGGGAUGGGGUCGCGUCCUAUCAGCUUGUAGGCGGGGUAAUGGCCCACCUAGGCUUCGACGGGUAGCCGGCCUGAGAGGGCGGACGGCCACAUUGGGACUGAGAUACGGCCCAGACUCCUACGGGAGGCAGCAGAA